AUUGAACGCUGGCGGAAUGCUUUACACAUGCAAGUCGAACGGCAGCACGGGGCAACCUGGUGGCGAGUGGCGAACGGGUGAGUAAUACAUCGGAACGUGCCCAAUCGUGGGGGAUAACGUAGCGAAAGUUACGCUAAUACCGCAUACGAUCUACGGAUGAAAGCAGGGGACCGCAAGGCCUUGCGCUCUUUGAGCGGCCGAUGUCAGAUUAGCUAGUUGGUGAGGUAAAGGCUUACCAAGGCGACGAUCUGUAGCGGGUCUGAGAGGAUGAUCCGCCACACUGGAACUGAGACACGGUCCAGACUCCUACGGGAGGCAGCAGUGGGGAAUUUUGGACAAUGGGGCAACCCUGAUCCAGCCAUGCCGCGUGAGUGAAGAAGGCCUCGGUGU
This 390-nucleotide ribosomal RNA is filed under the name uncultured bacterium. RNAcentral's name for it is "bacterial SSU rRNA". It matches the Rfam family "Bacterial small subunit ribosomal RNA", at positions 30 to 423 of the family's 1533-position model. The record is from RNAcentral.